AAUCCAAAGCUCCAAAGGGAAGAUUAAAGGCUCUACACUUGUGAGUAUUAUUCUUAUCACUCUUUUAUACUCUAUUUUAUCACAAUUGAGAGCAUUAAUGUUGCCUUUUAUCUUCCCUUUGGAGCUUUGGAU
Molecule: non-coding RNA, 132 nt
Organism: Pelobates cultripes (western spadefoot toad)
Lineage: Eukaryota; Metazoa; Chordata; Amphibia; Anura; Pelobatidae
Source: the annotation of a GenBank genome assembly